GGGCCCAUAGCUCAGUGGUUAGAGCAGGCGACUCAUAAUCGCUUGGUCGUAGGUUCAAGUCCUACUGGGCCCA
Molecule: transfer RNA, 73 nt
Filed under: Pedosphaera parvula Ellin514
Lineage: Bacteria; Pseudomonadati; Verrucomicrobiota; Pedosphaerae; Pedosphaerales; Pedosphaeraceae
Rfam family: tRNA
About the family: Transfer RNA (tRNA) molecules are approximately 80 nucleotides in length.
Source: Rfam by way of RNAcentral